GGGCUUGCUCCUCAAGUUAGUGGCGAACGGGUGAGUAAUAUAUCGGAACGUGUCCGGAAGUGGGGGAUAGCUCGGCGAAAGCCGGAUUAAUACCGCAUAUGCCCUGAGGGGGAAAGCGGGGGAUCGCAAGACCUCGCGUGAUUGGAGCGGCCGAUGUCGGAUUAGCUAGUUGGUGGGGUAAAGGCCUACCAAGGCGACGAUCCGUAGCGGGUCUGAGAGGAUGAUCCGCCACACUGGGACUGAGACACGGCCCAGACUCCUACGGGAGGCAGCAGUGGGGAAUUUUGGACAAUGGGCGCAAGCCUGAUCCGGCCAUGCCGCGUGAGUGAAGAAGGCCUUCGGGUUGUAAAGCUCUUUCAGACGGAAAGAAAACGCUCCUGUUAAUACCGGGGGCGGAUGACGGUACUGUCAGAAGAAGCACCGGCUAACUACGUGCCAGCAGCCGCGGUAAUACGUAGGGUGCGAGCGUUAAUCGGAAUUACUGGGCGUAAAGCGUGCGCAGGCGGUUGUGUAAGACAGGUGUGAAAUCCCCGGGCUUAACCUGGGAACUGCGCUUGUGACUGCACGGCUAGAGUACGGCAGAGGGGGGUGGAAUUCCACGUGUAGCAGUGAAAUGCGUA
RNAcentral lists this ribosomal RNA (620 nucleotides) under uncultured Azoarcus sp. RNAcentral's name for it is "bacterial SSU rRNA". It matches the Rfam family "Bacterial small subunit ribosomal RNA", at positions 76 to 692 of the family's 1533-position model. The record is from RNAcentral. Lineage: Bacteria; Pseudomonadati; Pseudomonadota; Betaproteobacteria; Rhodocyclales; Zoogloeaceae.